This 292-nucleotide long non-coding RNA is filed under the name Capsella rubella. Its description in RNAcentral is "long non-coding RNA (CRUB_LNC001803)". Lineage: Eukaryota; Viridiplantae; Streptophyta; Magnoliopsida; Brassicales; Brassicaceae. The record is from RNAcentral.
UUAUUAAUUAUGUUAGUCUCUGUUGCCAGAAAUAAUCUUUAAUUAUAUUUUAAACAAAUAUUGAUGACGCUGGGUUCACAAUUAUCAAAAAUACUCAUAUCUACUACUUCAGGUUCAGGGCAAUAUCUAAAUAAUCACAAGCACUAUUUUACGGUUUACAGAAAAAAAAAGAAAAAAACAAGUACUAUUUUACUAUAUUGUGUUAAGAAAAUUAAAUAAUAAUAUUUAUAGUCGUCGGAAACGUAAGACAAUGCUUACGGGAGAAACCAAAAUAUGCUAUCGUACGUUUCUU